This 787-nucleotide ribosomal RNA is filed under the name Saxomyces sp. RNAcentral's name for it is "SSU rRNA". It matches the Rfam family "Eukaryotic small subunit ribosomal RNA", at positions 33 to 830 of the family's 1831-position model. Lineage: Eukaryota; Fungi; Ascomycota; Dothideomycetes. The record is from RNAcentral.
UGUCUCAAAGAUUAAGCCAUGCAUGUCUAAGUAUAAGCAAUCUAUACGGUGAAACUGCGAAUGGCUCAUUAAAUCAGUUAUCGUUUAUUUGAUAGUACCUUACUACAUGGAUAACCGUGGUAAUUCUAGAGCUAAUACAUGCUAAAAACCCCGACUUCGGAAGGGGUGUAUUUAUUAGAUAAAAAACCAGCGCCCUUCGGGGCUCCUUGGUGAUUCAUGAUAACUCAACGAAUCGCAUGGCCUUGCGCCGGCGAUGGUUCAUUCAAAUUUCUGCCCUAUCAACUUUCGAUGGUAGGAUAGUGGCCUACCAUGGUAUCAACGGGUAACGGGGAAUUAGGGUUCUAUUCCGGAGAGGGAGCCUGAGAAACGGCUACCACAUCCAAGGAAGGCAGCAGGCGCGCAAAUUACCCAAUCCCGACACGGGGAGGUAGUGACAAUAAAUACUGAUACAGGGCUCUUUCGGGUCUUGUAAUUGGAAUGAGUACAAUUUAAAUCCCUUAACGAGGAACAAUUGGAGGGCAAGUCUGGUGCCAGCAGCCGCGGUAAUUCCAGCUCCAAUAGCGUAUAUUAAAGUUGUUGCAGUUAAAAAGCUCGUAGUUGAACCUUGGGCCUGGCUGGCCGGUCCGCCUCACCGCGUGUACUGGUCCGGCCGGGCCUUUCCUUCUGGGGAGCCGCAUGCCCUUCACUGGGCGUGCCGGGGAACCAGGACUUUUACUUUGAAAAAAUUAGAGUGUUCAAAGCAGGCCUUUGCUCGAAUACAUUAGCAUGGAAUAAUAGAAUAGGACGG